RNAcentral lists this ribosomal RNA (495 nucleotides) under uncultured bacterium. RNAcentral's name for it is "partial 16S ribosomal RNA". It matches the Rfam family "Bacterial small subunit ribosomal RNA", at positions 29 to 507 of the family's 1533-position model. The record is from RNAcentral.
CACGAACGCUGGCGGCGUGCCUAAUACAUGCACGUCGAACGCUGAAGGUGGUUCUUUCUUCUCUGGAUGAGUUGCGAACGGGUGAGUAACGCGUUGGUAUCCUGCCUAGUACCGGGGGAUAACUAUUGGAAACGAUAGCUAAUACCGCAUAAUAUUCGAUGUUGCAUGACAUUUGCUGAACAGUUGCAAUUUCAUCACUACCAUAUGGUCCUGCUUUGUAUUAUCUAGUUGGUGGGGUAAACGCGCACCAAAGAGAAGGUACAGAGCCGACGUGAGAGGGGGGUCGGCCACACUGGGACUGAGAGACGGCCCAGGCGGAUACGGGAGGGAGCAGUAGGGAAUAGUAGGCAAUGGACGGCAAUCUGACCGAGCCACGCCGCGUGAGUAAAGAAGGUUGUCGGAUCGUAAAGCUCUGUUGUAGGAGAAGAACGAGUGUGAGAGUGGAAAGAUCACACUGUGACGGUAUCUCACCAAAAAGGCACGGCAAACUACGUG